GGACUGGGGUAAAGGUAAUGGACUGGGGUUAAGGUAAUGGACUGGGGUAAAGGUAAUGGACUGGGGUAAAGGUAAUGGAUUAACUCCAGCCGUACUUGCACCAAUCCAACACUUUUAAAUGUAUGAGGUGGAGUGAACAAGUGCACAUGGGGUACAGUGUCCUUACUGUUAGAGAGGUAGAGAAUAGGAAGUGUCCUUACUGUUAGAGGGGUAGAGAAUAGGAAGUGUCCUUACUGUUAGAGGGGUAGAGAAUAGGAAGUGUCCUUACUGUUAGAGAGGUAGAGAAUAGGAAGUGUCCUUACUGUUAGAGAGGUAGAGAAUAGGAAGUAUCCUUACUGUUAGAGAGGUAGAGAAUAGGAGGUAUCCUUAAUGAAGGACCUACUGUUAGAGAGGUAGAGAAUAGGAGGUAUCCUUAAUGAAGGACCUACUGUUAGAGAGGUAGAGAAUAGGAGGUAUCCUUAAUGAAGGACCUACUGUUAGAGAGGUAGAGAAUAGGAGUUAUCCUUAAUGAAGGACCUACUGUUAGAGAACUACUUCCCAGCUACAAACACAAACAUGGAUAUUAUUCAGCAGAAGAGACUCAUAUUUUCUUCCUCAAGUGUGCUCUUCCUUCACUCCCCCAUGUUUCUUACUCCUGUCCAUGGUGUGGAGUCAACAAGUACACACUUCUAAGGUAGAGAAUUGGGACUCAUCAAAAGGCCUUCUAUAAGAUCCUGGAUCAACCUAACCCUUUGGUCUGUUUGUCUGGUCCAAAGAGAUAGAGAGAGAC
Molecule: long non-coding RNA, 769 nt
Organism: Oncorhynchus tshawytscha (Chinook salmon)
Lineage: Eukaryota; Metazoa; Chordata; Actinopteri; Salmoniformes; Salmonidae
Source: Ensembl